This 422-nucleotide ribosomal RNA is filed under the name uncultured archaeon. Its description in RNAcentral is "partial 16S ribosomal RNA". It matches the Rfam family "Archaeal small subunit ribosomal RNA", at positions 323 to 746 of the family's 1478-position model. The record is from RNAcentral.
CUACGGGUUGCUGCAGGCGAGAAAACUUUGCAAUGUGCGAAAGCACGACAAGGUUAAUCCGAGUGGUUUGUGCUAAACGAACCUUUUGACAGUCCUAGAAACACUGUUGAAUAAGGGGUGGGCAAGUUCUGGUGUCAGCCGCCGCGGUAAAACCAGCACCUCAAGUGGUCAGGAUGAUUAUUGGGCCUAAAGCAUCCGUAGCCGGCUCUGUAAGUUUUCGGUUAAAUCUGUACGCUCAACGUACAGGCUGCCGGGAAUACUGCAGAGCUAGGGAGUGGGAGAGGUAGACGGUACUCGGUAGGAAGGGGUAAAAUCCUUUGAUCUAUUGAUGACCACCUGUGGCGAAGGCGGUCUACCAGAACACGUCCGACGGUAAGGGAUGAAAGCUGGGGGAGCAAACCGGAUUAGAUACCCCCGUAGUC